AAUAAAGGUUAGGGAUGAAAGUUUGAAUUUAGGAUCUCAAAACAAAAAUUAAGAUGAUUGUUGAUGAGUAUAUAUAAUUGUAGUUGGUAUGACAUUUUAUCUUAGAGGUGAGAGAUACCACAUCUUAACAGUUCUACGGAAGAACGAUUAAUUUUUUUUGAAGAUCAUAUUUAUAAUUUAACCAAGGAGAGAAAGAGAUAUACUCACUCUGUUUGGUGUUUUAAAAGCGCUUAUUAAUUCUGCAAACUCCUACUCUGUUGAGAGAAACAAAUCUGAGAUUUCAUACAUUUCUCCCAUCUGAAAGAUCAAAGCAAUGAGAACUCACCUUUUACUUCUUGGUUUGUUCUUCUGUUUCCUUCUCUUAAGUGCUUCUUUCAUGGACACUGCCAUGGCUGAUUCAGACCGGUGCACAAGACCGUGUAGGAAGAGGUGCUCGAAAGCGAAGCUGAAGCGUCGGUGCAUGAAGUAUUGUAGAAUAUGUUGCAGUAAAUGUAAAUGUGUGCCAGGGGGCUAUGGGAAGCGCCAUUGCCCUUGCUAUAGCCAUGUCCACACCAUUAGAGGCAGGGCCAAGUGCCCUUAACUUUUAAGACCAUAUGCAUUUAUUGUCUGUCCCUUAUUGUUAUUAUUAUUAUUAUUAUGAAAUCAAAUAAGCCAACCUAAAAUAGUACUAUAGAAAUGAAAUGAGACCAAAAUAAUUGUGUCUGAUUUCAAUAUUAAGUACUGCUUCAAAGUUUGAAUGUGAGGUUUGUUUGGUGUGCUUUUUUUAAUAAUAAUAAACUAUAUGUAUUUAUGAUGUGCCUUUGAUUAUUGUAUUUUAUUAUUUAAGGCCUUCUUCUA
Cucumis sativus (cucumber) is the source of this 837-nucleotide long non-coding RNA. RefSeq lists it as uncharacterized. NCBI's taxonomy places the organism in Eukaryota, Viridiplantae, Streptophyta, Magnoliopsida, Cucurbitales, Cucurbitaceae. The transcript has 2 exons. The record is from RefSeq and is a predicted model, not a curated record.